This 620-nucleotide ribosomal RNA is filed under the name uncultured bacterium. RNAcentral describes it as "bacterial SSU rRNA". It matches the Rfam family "Bacterial small subunit ribosomal RNA", at positions 59 to 670 of the family's 1533-position model. The record is from RNAcentral.
AAGUCGAGCGGUAACAUUUCUAGCUUGCUAGAAGAUGACGAGCGGCGGACGGGUGAGUAAUGCUUGGGAAUAUGCCUUAUGGUGGGGGACAACAGUUGGAAACGACUGCUAAUACCGCAUAAUGUCUACGGACCAAAGGGGGGGAUCUUCGGACCUCUCGCCAUUUGAUUAGCCCAAGUGAGAUUAGCUAGUUGGUGAGGUAAUGGCUCACCAAGGCGACGAUCUCUAGCUGGUUUGAGAGGAUGAUCAGCCACACUGGGACUGAGACACGGCCCAGACUCCUACGGGAGGCAGCAGUGGGGAAUAUUGCACAAUGGGCGCAAGCCUGAUGCAGCCAUGCCGCGUGUGUGAAGAAGGCCUUCGGGUUGUAAAGCACUUUCAGUAAGGAGGAAAGGGAUGUAGUUAAUAGCUGCAUUCUGUGACGUUACUUACAGAAGAAGCACCGGCUAACUUCGUGCCAGCAGCCGCGGUAAUACGAGGGGUGCAAGCGUUAAUCGGAAUUACUGGGCGUAAAGCGUUCGUAGGCGGUUGAUUAAGCAAGAUGCGAAAGCCCAGGGCUCAACCUUGGAACUGCAUUUUGAACUGGUCAACUAGAGUACUGUAGAGGGUGGUGGAAUUUC